ACUCCUACGGGAGGCAGCAGUAGGGAAUCUUCCACAAUGGGCGAAAGCCUGAUGGAGCAACGCCGCGUGUGUGAUGAAGGCUUUCGGGUCGUAAAGCACUGUUGUAUGGGAAGAACAGCUAGAAUAGGAAAUGAUUUUAGUUUGGCGGUACUAUACCAGAAAGGGACGGCUAAAUACGUGCCAGCAGCCGCGGUAAU
RNAcentral lists this ribosomal RNA (197 nucleotides) under uncultured bacterium. Its description in RNAcentral is "partial 16S ribosomal RNA". It matches the Rfam family "Bacterial small subunit ribosomal RNA", at positions 335 to 524 of the family's 1533-position model. The record is from RNAcentral.